Long non-coding RNA from Mus musculus (house mouse), 36006 nucleotides. RefSeq annotates it as predicted gene, 52128. The transcript is spliced from 2 exons. The record is from RefSeq and is a predicted model, not a curated record. NCBI's taxonomy places the organism in Eukaryota, Metazoa, Chordata, Mammalia, Rodentia, Muridae.
GUACAUAUGUAUAUAUAUCAUCAGUUCAGUGACUCCAUAUAUAGUUUUCUUUUGCUCACAGCAUUUUGGUUGCUUCCUGAGCAUGGAUGCUUCUUUCAGGGCUUACAAAGGCCCCUCUUUUGAUCAGGAGGCUCUAUUCAUUCUUGAAGGAGAAGAGUAUAAAGACCAGACUAUGCUGGUCACCGCUCUCUCCUCUAGGUUCCAGUGUUCAAGCCAGAUGAUGUGGGAUUCCAUUAUGUCUCUCAGUUGGGACGCCCCCCUGUGUGAAGCUGGGUUGACAGGUGAUUGGAGUACAAGGGCAUACUCCUUUCAGUGACUCUUUACAGCCCACUUUAACCCAGCGUUAAUUUUGGCCUUUACUCAGCAAGGGCACCAGUGUUGGCUGGAAGGCCAUGGGAGGCCAGGUAGGGAGCAGGAGCUGUCUCCUGCCUAAUGAAGGCCUUUAUUAGUGGCUCUUGUCCCUAUGAUUUGAGCCCCAAGUUCAUCCACUUUCAGUUUUUCAAGAAGCCAAGGAUUUUUUUUUUCUUGGUAACAGGGACAGGCAGCUUCUCUGGGGAAAUAUGCUGAUAACAUUUCACUGUAAAUGCUUCUUUUGAUUUUAUUUGCACAUGAGAAUUCUAAGAAUCUGCAAGGUACAAAGUAAGACUUAAGUGAGCAACAUUUCCAGCUUGAAUUAAAACUAAUAGAAAGAGUCCGUGUUGGUAGGAGGCCCUAGAGGGCAAGACUGAAGCAGGAUUGUGCGUCACUCUCUAUCCUUGUUUUAACUUCUGCGAGGACUGGAGGUCAGCAAAGUGUCAAGUUGCCUCCAGAGCUUUGCUCCUAACCAUAUCUUGUCCUGUGUACUUUCCGUUCUUGGCAUUAUUGGACAGCAAGUGUUCUAAACCUAAAUUAAAAUCAAUAAGAAGCAAUUUCAUUUGUGUUUAACUAUGAAGACAAGUGCUUCCAACAGAACAUUGUACUUUUGAGAAAAGUUCGGUUUUGUUAUUUCUUUCUGUCUUAAAAAUAAUUGUUCAUGGUUGGUGCCUCCAAAUGUGACUAUUCUUCAGUGUAAGCCUUGCUUUGAUGUAAAGCCUUGCUCACUACUGUGUCGGCUACUGAUUUCUCUUGACUCAUGGAACUAUGUAGUUGCCAAUCAGAAUAAAAAACGAAUUGUAAGUCACUGAUCAGAGUGAGGAAUUUCAACACUUUUGGGGGGAGGGUGUUGAGAAAAUUUCACUGUGUAGGCCAGGCUAGCUUCAAACUUACAAGAGAUCCGCCUGUCUCUGUCUCCUGAACCCGGGGAUCCUGGGAUGAAGGCACAUCCCCUGUUUCUGCUAAACAUUUGAGACAAAUCAUGCAUAUAGUUUUUUUCUUAAUUUUCCUCCUAUUACUUAAUUCUUCCCUUGUUUUGCAAGUAUGAGUUCUGAACUAAUUGCUGUUUUAAUUGCUUUCAUUAGGUGAUAGAUUCCUCUGACUGAGUAGACUAGACAUUUUCCACCCCUAAAUAUCCAGGAUUUGAAACUUCCAGUCUGGAAAAUUUAAAGUGAGAAAGAGAAGAACCGUGGUUGUCUUGGCAGCGGAGAUCUUGCUAAUUACAGCCGUUGUUAUCUGUUUAGGAUGCAGGCAUCAGGGACACAAUUACCAGGUCACGUUUGGUAAGGUCUGUGGGGUUGGACUCUGGUGGGUGAGAUGUUGAUGUGAGGAACAUGGGAGAGCUGUGUGGGGAGCGAGGGAAGCCUUAGGUCCUGUUGCCUUGGUGGCCACCCUAGCUGAUUUAAAACAAACAAACAAACAAACAAACAGCAAAACAAACAAACAAAAAACCCCUAAAGAAGAGCCCCGGAGUAGCGAUGCUCAGGACUGGAGAGAGCCUUGGGACCAGCAAGGCCUGCUUACAUCUCUUUGUUCUUGCUGUUGUCUAGGACCAUCUCCUUCCCCUUGCCGGCAGUAACUACUGUGCUAGGAAAGUGGCUACUGCUUCCCUUUCUGCUGUAUCUUUAUCAGGCCAUGUGCCACCCAGGUGUGUCCGCUGACCACAGGUGGUCACACAGCACUAUUGAUUAGGUGCCGUCAAGCGUGGACUGGUUCUCUGUAAUGAAUGGGGUUACGAUGGGAUUCAGGGCAUGCGAUUUCUUUUUUGUCUUACCUGUUAGUUCGGGAGCAGCAGAUACAGUCUUUCAGUUCUGGGCACUGAACUCAGAACACACCAGCUAGCUGAACACCAGGUCUUCAACAACCACCCUUGUGUUUUAAGUGUGUGUGAAUGUUGGUGUGUUAGUGUAGGUGUGUAUGUGCACUUAUGCAUGCACGAGAGGGUGUCCAUGGGCCGGAGACAGCUUAGUUGUCAUUUUUUGGGAACCGUGUCUUUGUCCUUUGACAGUUUGUCUCUACUUUGCCCCAGGCUCAUUGAAUAGACUGUGCCAGCUGCUUGGCGAGCCCAGGGACCUGCCUUUGAGCUGGGAUUACAAGCAGGUGUAGCCAGCAUUCUAUAUAGGUUCUUGGGAUCUGAUUCCAGUGGCCAUACUGGCUUGUGCUUACUGGCUCUCUGUAGCUCUCAUGAGACAGAGUCACGAUGUUUAACAUGAUUCAGCAUUGAGAGAUCAGUGAAAUGAGUUUAUAAAACAGAAGCAGAGAUAGCAACUGCCCUCAACUAUGUCAAGAUGUAUUUAACAGAGUGUAAUGGGAAUGCAAUACAGCGUGACUGGGUUGUGUGAACUGGCUCUGUUUGCGUUUAUUCAGUUAUCACAGGAAUUCUCUUAGUAAGAAAGCACACGUUUUAUGUUUUAAGCAUGACCCUUUAAGGCUCUGAGUCUGUGGUCCCACCAUUAUCUUGGUUAUCUCAUUUCUUAAUUCUUCUCAUGAAAUCUAUAACUUGGGAACCGAGGAGAUGGCUUAUUUGCUGAGGUGUUUGUUGCACAAGCAUUAGAAACUGAGUUCAGACCCCAGCACCAGCACCAAGCUUCCAGUGACCCUAGAGGUCAUCGGGUGGGGCCUGGUGGUGUCAGUCUGAGGAGCUCAGCGUGGUCAGGACGGCAGGGCUCAUUGCUUUGUCUGUAACCCUUUGAGUUAUGGACUUUGGUCACUGGUGAUGAGUUGAAGAGACAGGAACCAAGUGGAGGUGGUUCUGUGGAUAGAUGGAUAUCUCAGCCCAGUGUGGAAAACUGAAGUAGAAAAAGAGUACAUGGGUAAGGUUGGCUAUUGGGUUAGAUUGACUGAAAAUGCCUCCUCAGGCUGGCAUGGGGCUAAAGACCCCCAGUGUCCAGAAAUCUAUGGAGGAAACUGAGGCACUGGGCAAGAGAGGAAGCAGGCUGGCAUCAGAAACGUUCACCUGACACAUGCUGCCCUGUGUGUGAAGACUGACUGAGGCCUCUAGUCUCUGUGGACUCUCUUGGCUCUCGAUUCAUGGGUCUGCAAUUUGGUUUCUGAUUGGAUGGAAAUAGCCAGGAGUGUGUGACUAUCUCCUCAGCAUAGGAAACAUGGGCAUUUGUUUUUUCUUGAAGUAGAUUCUGUUCCUAGUUGAUGAAAAUGUUCUUUUCCAGAGCGUUUCAGCUACAUCUUAACUGUUUUCACUAUUCCUCAGCAAUAGGAAGCUAUUUUCCCAGAUUUACAUUUGUGAAUAUAGGAACACAAAGACAAUUCUUAUACAAGCAAUAAAGUUGUUUAUCAUUGUAUUGCUUGCUUUUUUUGUUCACUUACAAGUUUAAAAGAAACCCACUUUAUUUACUUCAUAUAUUAGCACAGUCCUUUUAAUAGCUGUGUAGUAUUCCGAUGUUGAAAAUAUACCGUGUUUCAAGUCACAAAUGUUCUUGUGUGCUUCUCCUUGAGUGUACAUUUGCCAGUAUCUGCUUCAAGUAGAAAUGGAAUGUUGGCUUUACCUGGGUCUUGGAUAACCUAGGCCGUGAGUCAGAUUUCCCUGAGUUGUCUGACCUUUCGGCCAUUGAUUUCUUCCCUGCUUUCUUCUUCCAUCCUUUCACUCUGACAUCGAUGAUGGUGUAGGGCUGUGUGUGCAUUUGUGUGUGUGUGUGUGUGUGUGUAAGGGGUUGUUGUAAGACGGCCUGUACUUAAACUAGGUACUAACAGUAGGCGAGCCCUCUGCCUCUGAGUCCAUCCCAGUCCCUUGAGAGGGCCUGUGGAGAGAAAAAGCCUGUUCUGCAGAGCCCAGAUACAUCUCACACAUUGAAUCGCCCUGCAGUGUGCUGCUAUGCCUCCUGUGGUGGUGGCUUGACAGAAAAGGUGACAUGCACAGAGUCAGGACAAAUCUGGGCAGAUGUGCUUCUCUGCAGUUUUCCCCAUCAGUCCCCACUGAGACCCCUCAUGCCUGUGUCAGCCCAGGGAUCAACAUUGCCUUUGUUUGUCAGCUUAGGGAUGGGGGAAGGGGGAGAGAGAGAGAGAGAGAGAGAGAGAGAGAGAGAGAGAGACUGGGGAUGGCGUGGGGGGAGGAAGGCAUGGAGAACUGAUCCCUCUGGAAGUCUGUCCCUUCUAUUAGGUGUGUCACAGUUCCCCCUUCGCUAAAGUGCGCCCGAUUUCAGGAAUUUGAGAUGAAUGAAGGUUUCAUCAUAAACACGAUGCUUUACUCAGCAUCUCUGUUCUCCUCAUUUCCGUUCUGAUGGAGGCAUUCUUAAUGAGGAGGGGAUUAGGAAGGAGGGCAGUGGUCAGGGAAACAGAAGAAAACAGAGAGCAGCAUGCCUGAAUAGCUAGCUGGGCCUCAUCAGGACCUCCAAGGCAAAGGAAAGACGCAGAGUUUUGUGGAUUAUCACGGCUUCUCUUUCUCCCUUAAGAAUUUAGAGCUUUGUCAGCAAUGUCGACAGAAGACAGACAGCUGUGUUUAAAAACUAAGACGGCAUCCCAGGGUGCUCACUGUGACUUGGAGUGAAUAUGUAUUGAUUGUUAGAGUUAUUUUUCAAAAUGCCAUUUCAAAUGCAGAGUUAAGUACUAAGCCAGUAUGUUUCGUGUGCAUGCGUGUGUGUGUGUGUGUGUGUGUAGGCCAGAGUUUGACUUUGGCUCUCACAGAUCACUUAAACUGGCUGGCCAACAAAGCCCUGGGACCCACUUGCCUCUUCGUCCCCAGCACUAGGAGGAGCGGACACACCUGGCUUUUAAGUGGGUGUUGGGACACAGAAGGUAGUUCCUCGUGCCUGCUCGGCAGCUCAAGCAUGGAUAACGGAGUAGCUAACCUGUUCUCAAGUGAUUAGAAAAAUGAGCUAGGAUUUGAAAGCACCAUGGUUGUACAAAGCAUGUUCUAAACUCUAGUGGAAGAAGCAGCUUAUUCGGGGGGCAUCGAUAGGUGGGUUACAACCCAGAGUCCUGCACCUCUCCUGUGCAGGCACACUGGGACUUGUUACUUAUAAAGACAUUUAUUUCUUCAUCCGGAGACUACUGUGAAUUGAGCUGUUGGCUGAGGUAACCUCAGGCAAGCAAGGCACGCCUUUGCUGUACCUCUGAGAUCCCAGGAGUCCACACAGGACUGGCAGAGUUAUCACGUGGAGGUUGUUUAUAGGACAGGGCCAACUUCAGAGGCUGGUAACUGCCCUCACCCGCCAUAAUUCAUGAAUCACUGACCGCUUACCCUCUCCCCCACCCCCAGAUGCUGGUGUUUGGUGUUGAUUAGUUUGCAUCUGGAUCUGCUGCAUGCACCUGCAUACCGAGUGCAACAGUAACAUCUCCUUCAUAGACAGACACACCAAGACUCCCGGUUGCUUUUGUGCUGUGCUUGCUGGAGUCACCUGCUAGUGAGGAGUUUGUUUCCUUGAUGGGCACCAGAGUCCUUUAAAGAGAUUCAUAACUCCCACUUCUGCAAAAGGAGAAAGCUGAUCAUAAGGAGCUGUGCAAAGAAGAUACCUAGACAUGUUACGGUGGGAUUUCCCAUUACUGUUUUUUAUAGCGAUGCAUUUAUUCCCCAAGUUUGGACAUUGAGAUCAAUGUAUGGCAACAGUUUCCUGAUUCUAAGGAAGAAACUGGAUGCUAGAACUUGGGCAAAGGAGAAAUUCUUUGGUUACCUGAGGAGAUGAUAGUAGACACACACACACAUACCCUCUCUCUAGCUCUCUUUCUUUUUUCUCACACACUCCCUUUCUCUCAUUCUCUUUUCUUCUCUCACCCUAUCCUCACCCCCAAACAGGGUCUUAAUAUGUAGCCCUGGCUGGCCUGGAACUAGUUAAGUAGACCAUGCUGGCUUUGAGCUCAUAGAGAUCUGUUUGCUUUUGCCUUCUGAGUAGCAAGCAAAGAUUAAAGGUAUACUCCAACAUUUACAAGUUUGGUUUGUUUUUUAAUUACAUUUGUUUAUUUUAUAGGGGUGGGGAGGAUUGACCAUGGCUGAAAUGAACAUUUCUGUACAGUUUUACAGCUUUAUAGAGUCUUAGUUUUACGGCUUUGUGUAACUGGUUUGUAUAAUUGAUAAGAAAUUUAUUACCAUUUACAUCACAGUCAAAACUUAGAUAACUUUUAUGCAGGAUUUCUUUAUGUUUUCUUCUCAACGAAUAAAGCUUGAAGAAACCACUGAUAAAACAUUAGCAUCACUGUAUUUUUAAUGAAGUCAUGGAAAAUAUCUUUAUUUUACCUAUUUGUUUUCCUUAGAGAUUUAUUUUUAUGUGCUUGUCUAUGUGUAUCAUGUUCAUGCAGUGGCUGAGGAGGCCAGAAGAGGGCAUCAGAGAUUCCCCUGGAACUGCAGUGGCAGAUGGUUCUGAGCUGCCACAUGGCUGCUGGGAACCUAUUCUGGGUCCUCUGCAGGAGCAGAGGCUCUUAACUGCCCAGUUCUCUCUUCAGCCCCCAAGGACACUGUAAAAAAGUAAGCUAUGCAGUCCUCAUUUUCUUUACCUGUGCCCUGUUCUGGAGAAACAAAACAAAACAAAACAAACACCUCUGGGCAGGAAGACAGUUAAUUUUAGAGAAAAAUGUGAUUGUUCACAGUUAGUAAUUGGUUUUAGUAAUGGGGAAUGGAUUCUGAGAUGGGAGGACUGGGAAGUAUGAUAUGAAUUUCCUGAGAAUCAAUACAAAUGUUAUAAAAAAAUAAAAAUGUUAUGUUAAAAAAAAGUUGGAAAAUGUGCACUUUAAAAUUGAUUUUUUUUUUGCCGGGCAGUGGUGGCGCACGCCUUUAAUCCUAGCACUUGGGAGGCAGAGGCAGGCGGAUUUCUGAGUUCGAGACCAGCCUGGUCUACGAGUGAGUUCCAGGACAGCCAGGGCUACACAGAGAAACCCUGUCUUGAAAAAAAUGAAAAAAAAAAUUGAUUUUUUUUUUUUUGGGGGGGCCAGGCAUGAGUAGUGCUCAUCUUUAAUUCCAGUACCCCAGCAGAGGCAGGUGGAUCUCUGUGAGUUCGAGGCCUGCGUCUAAGUCUCAGGGUCACAAGACUGUUGCCCAGGAAGUUAGGUGUGACAAUCAUAUAUAGUGAAGACGUAGGCAACAGUGUGUACUUCUUUGGUGGAUUAGUGUGAAGCCAGGGCCUUCAUAGCAGUACAUCAUUCUGGUGUGGCAGAAACAACAAACGUUAUCUCACUGUUCUGAAACAAUACAAAUGUAUUAUCUUGAUUAAACAAAAUGUAUUCUCUUGCCGGGCGUGGUAGUGCACGCCUUUAAUCCCAGCACUCGGGAGGCUGAGGCAGGCGGACCUCUGAGUUCGAGGCCAGCCUGGUCUACAGAGUGAGUUCCAGGACAGCCAGGGCUACACAGAGAAACCCUGUCUCGAAAAAAACCAAAAAAAAAAAAAAAAAUGUAUUCUCUCACUCUUCUGAGAUCAAGGGAUGGGUGGGGCUGGUUGCUUCUGUGGAAUUCUUGUCUUAGCUUCUAGGACAUUAUAGGCCACCUUUGCUGGCAGAACUAUCUCCAUGUUUGCCUUCAUGGCUGUGCGUGUGUCCCCCACAUUUCCACAUUUUAUAAGAAUACCAAUCAUCUUGGCUGCAGGUCAUCUCAACUCAAUUCAGUUUGCAGUUAUUUGAGGUCAGAUGAUGAGCCACUGACACUUAGGCCACAGGAUGUUUUGGGGGACACAACUGUCAUGACACAAGUUACUAGCUUUGUGUCUCUAGACUUUCUAAUAAUAUUGGCCUCAGCCAGGCAACCUACACGCUCAAAAUUAGCAGCGCUCUGCUGUGUGGUGGAGCCUCUCAGUGCUCCACUCUUCGCAUUCUUCACCACAGCAAACACAUGCAUUUGUGUUCCUGAUGGCUGUAGCGGUCUCAUUACUACAAUAGAAGGAAGCACACCUGGAGACAAACGGACACACUGCAGAAUCUUCUGCUUGUCGUCUUCUUCUGGGUCUCCAAAGCAUAAUGAGUAUAAUCUCCAGUCACAAACAGGAAAACUCGGAUUUCAAUCAAGCUCAGCAGGAGGCAAUUACAACAACAUUCAGGAUGUUAUUACAGAAAAUGGACUGCAUGUUUAGGGCAAUUCAAAGGAUUCGUCAUUGGUAAUUUGGACAGGCUGAUACUAUACGUGAGUUGUGGCCACAAACUGGCUGUGUACCUAAGGAUCAUAUUAAACUUCUGAUUCUUCUGUUUCUUCCUUUCUCAUGCUGGGAUUACAAGAGUGCACCACCACGCCCACUUUAUGUGAUAAAGGGGAUCUGCCCAAGGACUUCCUCCAUGGUACGCAAACACUACUAAUUGAGGAUAUCUGCAAGCCUGAGCUAGGCACUGACUAUUGACUUAAUAUUCUUACUGUAGUUUGAUGAUGCUGUGGUUUUUGUUUGUUUGUUUGUUUGUUUGUUUUUUUAAAUUCCAAAUAGUAGUUGUCUUUAAUACUGUAUUUGGUAGUAGAACCCAUUUCAUGGUUAAAAUUGUACUGGAUACUGUAAGAAUCAAAAGCCUUAAAAAGGAUCAUUGCUAAUCAAUUCAGACUUCUGAUCCAUGCAAUCUUCUUCUAUGAGCUGAUUUAUCCAUAACAGUCAGGGAAGUCAGAGAAACCGUGGCAUGAAAGUGUAUGUGUUCUUCCUGUGGUGUGGGUUUUAACACCUAGGAAAAAGGUGACAAAAACCAAAGGAUAAUACCUGGAGGAUGGAGCUAAGUGUCAGGGAGAAGUGAGGGAUAAGGGAAACUGGGAGUGAUUGGAGGCAGGACUUUGGCAUGUAGGGUUGCCAUCUUCUUUAAAUGGGUCUCUCUGAAGUCAGUUUGUAAAAGUACCUUUUGUUUGCCUGAUGUAAUUGUCAUUUCCAAGGCUUACUGUCUCUGACGUAGGUCUAGUCCUGAAAGCUUCUGGCCUCUGUACAAUCUUAUCUAGGCCUAGAAGAUUUUCAGCCUGUGAGACUUACUGCUGAAUAAGCUUACCUUUUUUUGUUCUUUCUGAGCUCUGGCUGGCUGGUUCAUUUUAGUGGUUCUGGUUUAAGCUCUUUUUCCAAGCUGACUGAUUCAAUCUGACUCUUUUCUGUUCUUCUGAAAUGCUCUGCUUGGCCUCAUACUAACUUGGCAAUAUGUUUCAAUCUCCUGGCUUCUUCAUACUCUGGCUUGUUCUGUCUUUACCUAUGUCUAGCUUGUUCUCUGCAAACUGUCUCUGUACAACUGUCCCAGUAAAACUGCCUCCGCUUCUCUUUCUGCACUGCCCUUUAAGUAGUUUUCCUUUCCUCUCCUCUUGAGAGUUGGUCAUAUCCUAUCUUGUCAAAUCUUUCUCUGAUUCAUCACUUUGUCUGCCACUCAAUUAGACAUCACUUCCAAACAUGGUGCUUCCUUCUACAAACUAACUUUACUUUAAUUGUUUGGGAUUAAAGAUAGGUACUAAGGAUGUGACUGUAUUCCAUCUAGAGGGCUGUGCCACACCACAACUAGAAACACUUAUUUUUUUCAGUAGGUAAUACAAUCUUGGGGAUCAAAUAUUCUGCAACAUCAGCUGACGUUGAACAUUUAAAGCAGGGAAGGCAAGCCUGUGGUGGUGUGGAGCAGAUGCCUCAUUAUCAGGUCUGUCCUCCUCUUAGAGAUUGUCUGGAGGUGGCUUAGCACAUGAAGUGCUUGUUACUCAACCAUUAUGACCAGGCUGCCAUGACCCAUAAUCCCAUGGCUGUGGAGGCAGAGACAGGCAGAUCCCUGGGGCUCACUUGCCAGCCAGCCAGCCAGCCAGCCUUCUUGGUGAGUCGCAGGUUAGUGAAUGACUGUCUCAGACAACAAGGUAGACAUCCACAUGUGCACACAUGUGUGUGCCCUCUCUUUUUUUUUUUUUUUUAAAGAUUUAUUUAUUUUUAUUGUAUAUAAGUACACUGAGCUGUCUUCAGACACUCCAGAAGAGGGAGUCAGAUCUCGUUACGGAUGGUUGUGAGCCACCAUGUGGUUGCUGGGAUUUGAACUUCGGACCUUCGGAAGAGCAGUCGGGUGCUCUUACCCACUGAGCCAUCUCACCAGCCCCGUGUGCCCUCUCUUGCUCACGCAUGAGAACAAGGCCCAGAUCACUAGGAAAUAGUGGUAGAAUGGGAGGCUGUCCUGGCUUUGUGAUGCCGCUUACUGAUUUGUGGUGCUGGAGUCUUGUAGGCUGUUUUUGAAGUCACUUUCCAGCCUGUGGUCAGACUGUGCCUGCCAAAAGACUCACUUGGGUCUCCAGGGUGCCUAGCUCAUGGUCAUUGCUCACUGAGCAUGUGCUAGAGGACCCCCCACUUUAUAGUUAGAAAGAAGCUCAGAUGCCCCAGAAACAGUUGGGAACACGGUCCUUAGCAGCAUAAGACCCACUUCCUCAGGGGACCCCACCAGUCACAUAGCCCAUUCUUCUGAAGCCAGGUAAACACAAGCUGCCUUGUGCAAAAACAGGCUUCUAAUUUUCUCUGUGGGUCACACUAAACAGUCCCUUGUUCAUCCAAGACAGGGAAAUUGAUUUCAAAUUACUCCCAUAUUGGUAAAAAAACUCCAACUGCCACGCACGCUUUAUGGAAUGAGGGAGAAAGUAGGCCCAUGGUUUCAGCUGCAGUAAAACUGGUUUAAUUAAUUGAGCACUGUCUGUCACUGUCACGCAGCUGCUGUGUUCUGCUUCUACAUGAGGCUAGGUUGGAAUACCAUGCCACAGCUAGGAAGACAGCAAACAAUGUCGGUCUGCUAUGGAGGGAUAGUGGACAUGGUCAAGCCCUGGUCUGCACAGGGGCUGGGUUUUAAGGUCAUGUUCUAGGACCCGGAGGUAUUGGAAUUGCAGAGCAUGCUUUGAGCUUUCCUUCUGCUCUUUGCCGAUUUCAUGGGUCACUGCCUGUGCCUAUGAGAGCAGUUUGUUACAUAUUCAGGAAUUUGAAAGCUGGUCUACAGUAAAAAUACAGAAUUGUGUAAAGUUUCAAUUGCCAUUUAUUUAAAAAGUAAUGAAUAUCCCAAGUUCAUCAUAAAUCUCACUACAUCUGACUGUCUCUGUUUUGGAGGCUGUGCCUGUGGCAUGCCAUUGUACACACCCUCUCAGAACACCACCUGCUCUUGGCAUGCUUGUUUUUGUCUGUAUCUCUUUGAGGCACUCUUCGCAGUUGGUCUCUCAUUGUCAGGAUGAGGACUUGGUGCCACUCAUCACUGUAGAUGAGUUAAGGGUACAUCUUCCUCAUCUCUCCAUGUCACUGUGACCAACACACCCAGCACAGACAGGCUGGACAGAGGUUUAUCUGGACUCAUGAUUAUGGGUGGCUCAGUCGACUGUCGUCAUCCUUCACUUGAGCAGGGCAUUAUCACAGACAGAGGAGGAGAGUUACUCUCUCAUGGCUGACCAGGAAGUAGAGAGACCAGGGACAAUGGUCUCUCUGAUUCACUGCAUUAACCGCUCUUCCUCACUGGCCUGUUUCCUCUCUUUAGUUUCCUCUCUUUAGUUAUUUUAGUAAUUUUCCUCUCUUAAAGUUUCCACAACCUUCCAAAACAGUGCCCUGUGCUAGAGACCAAGAGUUCAGAACACAGCCCAUGGAAGCAGUUUGUAUUUAACCCUUAGCAGGGCCCAGCCCAUUCCAGGGCCUCUUUUUCUUGAGCAGUUGUAUUCACAAUCGCCUUGUCAUUGUGUCAUUCUGAGAUGUUGGGGUAACAGAGUUUACAUGUCUUUUACAGGGAGGACAAAGUUCAAUCCUUAACAUCACUCAGUAUUUUCAAGCUUCCUACUGGGGCUACUUUCUUGUAUGAGAACAACUCGCAUAAUAAAAGUAGGCACCAGAGCCCCUGUGUGCAGUAGUCCAGUCCCUGUGUGCAGUAGUCCAGUCCCUGUGUGCUGUAGUAGUCCAGUCCCUGUGUGCAGUAGUCCAGUCCCUGUGUGCAGUAGUCCAGUCCCUGUGUGCAGUAGUCCAGUCCCUGUGUGCAGUAGUCCAGUCCCUGUGGCACAUUUUGCACAUGUUCUCCCAGAACUCUUCUCACUCAGCAGCGUGCUCAUCGUUAUUUCUAGGUUUUAAAAUAUAUUUAUUCAAUUAUUGUAUUUGCUACAUUAAUUCUUUUGAUAUGUGUGUGUGCAUGAGUGUUUGGCCUUCAUGUAUUUAUGUGUCUCCUGUAGUGCCUGGGGCUUCUGGAGGUCAGAGGGGAACAUAAGAUGUCCUGGAACUAGAGUUUAUGGUGCUGAGAAUCAAAUCCCAGUCCUCUGCAAGAAUGACAAGUGCUCUUAAGCAGCUAAGUCAUCCUUUCAAUCCUUUUUAAAUUUGUUGUGUGUGUGUGUGUGUGUGCGUGCAUGUGUGUGUAUCUCUGUUCCACUUAUCAGAGGAUAUGUAGAAAGAUCAUAAAAUUUGUCUUUCUGAGACUGGCUUACUUCAUUUAACAUAGUGAUCAAGUCUAUUUUACUGCAGAUCUAUCUAUCUCCCUCCCUCCCUCCCUCCCUCCCUCCCUCCCUCCCUCCCUCCCUCCCUCCCUCCCUCCCUCCCUCCCUCCCUCCCUUCUUUCUUUCUUUCUUUCUUUCUUUCUUUCUUUCUUUCUUUCUUUCUGUUUUUCGAGAUAGGAUUUCUCUGUGUAGUCCUGGCUGUCCUGGAGCUCACUCUGUAGACCAGGCUGGCCUCGAACUCAGAAAUCCCCCUGCAUCUGCCUCCCAAGUGCUAGGAUUAUAGGCAUGUGCCACCACUGCCCCGCCAGAUGUUUCUUUCUUAUAAACCUUGUACAUUCAAGUGGAGCUUAGUAUGAUAUGCAUUGCCUGAUUUAUUUCUCGUGACAUUUUGAAGAUAGAGCUCCAGUCUUAGGGAAGGGGUGGGUGGAGGACUUUGUUCCUGGGCUGAGUAUGGAGCUGGUACAGGGACAUCUGCACUCACAGACCCCCUUUAGAUUCUGCCAUAGUCUGACCAAGCAAAUGCCACACCUCAGGUACCUCCCUUUACUGACUCUUGUCCUUGUAUAGGAUUUAUUUCCAGAUCUCUGUUUUCUCAUUCAGUUGGUAAAUGCUGAGAAAACACUGAAGUGCCUUUAACACGGGCUGUGGCUUGUAAGUCAUGCCACUUACUGGUCUGUGUUUCAUUCUGGCUCUUGCUUGGCGAUGAGAAGGUGCUAGGUCCUUCAUAGACACAUUUCCUGACUAGGACAGGGAGUCUGCCUCUGCCUGGACAGGGAGUCCCAUCUCUGUGCCUGGACAGGGAGUCCCGCCUCUGUGCCUGACAUUUUCCUGGUGGCUUGCAACCUUCUGCUAUAUUCUUUUGCCACACAACAGACGACUAGAAACUCAAUGACAACAUGGUGUAGGUUCAGGAAUUGGGCAUGAACUGGAUUCUUUCUCAGGCUGAGGGAAAAGUGUCAGUCACCCUUUGGACACAUAUGAGGCUUGGGCACUGUGGGUGGGUAGCACUUAGUGUUCUGUGGUUACAGGGUGAAAGCGUCACCUCUCAAAGCCAAACAUCUUUGCAAUUAAGAGGAUCUCAACUACAUGAACAUUCUCUUCUUGAAAGGUCUGUUCUCUACUGUCUCUGGUCUUAGUUAGGUCACUGUCCCUCUAUGAAUUAAUUCUCUUUCCAAUAAAUAAGUCAGCUGAUGGGGGACUUAAGGAUAUUGUAAGGAUUAUGUUGGUGGGUACACAUGAAGGGAGUGUGAUGGUUUGAAUAUGCUUGGCCCGGGGAGUGGCACUAUUUGGAGGUGUGGCCUCAUUGUAGUAGGCGUGGCCUUGUUGGAGGAAGUGUAUCACUGUGGGGGUGGCCUUUGAAGGACCUUCUUCCUAACUGCUUGGAAGUCAGUCUUCUCCUAACUGCCUUCAGAUGAUGAUGUAGAACUCUCAGCUCCUUUAGCCUGGAUGCUGCCAUGCUCCCACCUUGAUGAUAAUGGACUGAACCGCUGAACCUUUAAGUCAGCCCCAAUUAAAUGUUGUCCUUUAUAAGAGUUGCCUUGGUCAUGGUGUCUCUUCCCAGCAGUAAAACCCAAACUAAGAUAGGGAGGUAGGGUUGUUAUGUUAUGUUACGCAGUGGAAGAGAAAAACUGCAUGUAGAUGUGGACUCAGGGAGGAGACCAGGACGUAUUAGCGGCUGAAUGCAAGGUGGGCUGGGUAGAUGCUGUAGAGACCUCCCAUGUAUAGCAUGGUUGAGUUCUGGACACCCAGCAUACAGUGUGGAAAUGGUAGUUACCGGUUCUACACUUUGAACUUGAUGUUUGCUAGGUGGGCUCAACUUACCAGUUCACAUGCAUUUACGUGCAGCAGAUCUGUGAGGUGAUGGAUGUGUUUAGUAAAUAGUGGUAAUCAUUUCUUAAUGUUUACAUGGAUCUGAUGUUUAUGUUUCACACCUUAAAUUCACGCAAUGUCAUUUGUCAGCUAUACCUCAAUGAAGCUGGGAAAUCAAGAAGAGGUGAUGAUCAGAGGGGCCGUGUUGGAGUACUGUUGCCACAUUUGGAUCUUCUCUGGUUGCUCCACUCUUGGGUUCUGACUCCGGCCAUGCCCAUCAUUCCCUGACCACUUUAGCUAAACAUGCCCAUGGGGUUCGUGUACAAGUCGGGGCAUGGAAAUUAGACUGAUGGGCUUUCUGGGAAGAGCCUCUGAGUUGUCAGCCUUGGCGUGUGUAGUAUCAAGAUGUGUCCUCAGAAUUUUUGCAUAGGGUACCAGUUUUCUGGCUUUAUUAUCAGAGGUACCUCUGUUUUCCAUUUAGUUACUUUUUAAAAUUUAGUUUUGAGACAUUCAUAACACAGAUGGAGUAUAUAUGCUUAUACACAUCAUAUCUAUUCCCUGCUUCCCCCUCCAGCUCCUAGACUCUUUCCCACAACACCACCCCACAACUUCAUGUCCUGUUUCUUUAGCCCACUGAAGUCUUUGGUGCUUCCAGAAUAUGCAUAGGUGUUGCAUGGGCAACCUAUCCAGGACCAUACCCUUAAGGAAGAUUGAUUCUUCCCUCUCUAGUAGCUCUCAGCUGUCCUUAGUUCCUCAGCUAGGUUUGGACUUAUAAUCUCCUUCCUAUUAUCAUUUAAAUAUUCUUGAUUUCAAAGUUAAGACAGUGGUGCAUUGGAUUUUGAGUUGGAAGGGUGAGAACAUGACAUCCCAUUGCUCAAAGCAGGUAGGACUUACUGUCAGAGUGGAAUGAGUGUGUUAUGGGUUCAGGAAUGGCUGGAUCCAGAUUCUUAAACCAUGUGUCAAUAUAAUUUAGUUUUAAUAUGAUUUAGUUUCGUGUGUGUAUGUGUCUGUUUAUGUGGGUGCACGCAAACCUGUGUACAUUUGUGUGUGUGUGCAUUUGGAGGCGAGAACUUGAUGCCAUUGUUUUUCUCUGUUGUUACUGUUAUUUGCUGAGACGGGUCUUUUCACUGAACAUGGUGCUCAUCAGCUGAGGGUGCGCUGGUCAGCCAAUAAACUCUAGUAAACCAAUGGUAUGCCCUUCUUAUUAGGUGAGCGUUAUAGGCAUUGGUCAGCAUAGCUGGCUUUUUUAAAUGGGAAGCUGGGGUACAAGUUUUAUCCCUAAGCUUAGGUAGUAGCACCUGACCAGACUGAGCCACCUCCACAGCCCGAUGUCAUGCUGACUCUGCUGUUUUGAAAGCUUCUGUGAUGUUAGAAGAGAGAAGGUGGCUAUCCUCUCCCCUGAGCACUUAGAACAAUGGUUCCCAACCUGUAAGCCGUGACUCCGUUGGGGAUCACAUAUUACAUAUCCCGCAUAUCAGAUAUUUAUAUUACGAUUCAUGACAGUAGCAAAAUAGCAGCUAUGAAGUAGCAAUAAACUAAUUUUAUGGAUGGGGGUCAUGUGGAGCUGUAUUAAAGAGUCACAUUGUUAGUAAGGUUGAGAGCCACUGUCCUAGAGCUUCCACAAUAGACAUAGUUUCCUAUUUGUAAAGAGUAAGACGUUUACUCAGGCUAGAUACCUGAUUUCCUCUCCGUGACUUGGUCCUGGAUUUUGUCUCUGUGUGACUAAAACAGGACCUCUUCCUCUGCUCUCAGCCUACAGUCUGGUGUUUUCUUAGGAAGCAGGAGUCUUUGGCAAGAGAAAAAGGAGAAACCCUUGGCAAGUGACCACUUAGGAGCCCAAUGUGAUCAGGACACCCCAUACAGAUCAACUUAAUCUAAUUCCAGGUGUUUCAAAUGGAUAUUCCUUGCUCUGCACCCUCCACAUUACAGCUGUAGCACAGCUGGAUAGUAUCAGCUGCCUGUUCAGUGGCCUUGGCUGUGGGCUUUCUAUAGGGUGUAAUCAGGAGUUCUCACUCGGCAUGUGCAUCCUUUAAAGACUUAGGAAUACCAUUUCCAGUAUUCUACCACUGGGCACCCUAAGUCUGAUCCUGCUGUGUUCCUAGGACUUGUUAACACUGAAAUGUCUCAGACUUCACACUAGCCAGAUUGUCACAGACAUGGACCCCAGAGCCGCAUCUCUGCUGCUGUCAUAUCAUGGGGUUUUUCUUCCUCAAAAGGAGGCAGUUCUAUUCACUCUUUGAACUUUACAUUGCUUUAUUUAUUAUUGUUCUUUUUAAGGAGGGGUCUGAGCAAAGGCCCAGGAUGUGGCUGGAGUCUGAUUUAGCCUGUUUCUUCUCUCCUGCUUCUCCUUGGAAGUAAGUUUUUUCUUGGUGGAGAUAUGGAGGCAGCAGUUAUAUUGCCGAGCUUUGGCAGUUAGAUGACCUGUUUUCUCCAUCAGUUGUCUAUAAAAGGCAGAUAUUGGAGUUAUAAACCAAAUAAAUGCCAUCUGGCCCAAGAAGCUGUAGGACCAAGGCAUGAGAGCAGCAGGGAGUGGCCUGACUGCCGAAAGCUGGAUACAGCUUGCCUCACGCCCAGGGCCAGCUUGGUCUGGCGUGAGUUGGUUCUUGCCUAGCAGGGAUCUGAGCCAGUGCUGUGAAAUCAUACUUAUAUUUCCGUAGAACGGGAAGGGCCGACGGUUCCCUUGAUUAGCUGCAGCUUUUAAAGCUUGCUAGUGAUAUGAAGGAUGGAGUCGUCCAUGGCCUUUGGGCCAGGUUUGCUCCAUGUGUGGCCACCCUGCCCUAGUGGUCUGUCUUGCCCUGGUCAGAAGCCCUUGUGAGGAUGAGUUUUGGUUCUGAAGCAGCAUCUCUUCCAUCGUCCUUCUUCCUCACAAAGCCUCAGUUCGGCAUAGAAGUCUGCCUUCCUCUUUGAAGCCUUUUACCUGGGGGAGGAGUCAGACUUCCCUUGUGCUUUGGACGUGCUUGGUUAUUUAGAUUCCUUCUUUACGAUUGGUUCACCAUUGAAUGUGUGAUACUUGUCCUGAGAAGCUGAGGUCUCCUCUGCUCUAAGUGCCCCCCACAGUGGCUGUAGCAGACUCCUGGCAGCCUCGUGGAUGAGGAGGGCUGACUUCAAGGCAAGGGAAGACCUGUCCUCUUGACAGUAGCCUUCAGCCUUUAAGUUUGUCCUUUUUGGAACCUCUAUUUGUAUGAGAUAACAGAGUUGCUUUUAUUGCUUUUCUUUCUUGUAAAGGCAGCUUGGAUUGACCUAUACACAGAGCAGGGGAAGCCCCUGUUCAGUUCUAAGCCUUGUGAACUAUUGGUAAUAAAGAAGCUUUUUUGCUGCUGAAAAUGACUGCCAUUAAUUCUGACUAAGAGCUUCAUCUUAAGUCUUGGUACCAUUUUCUGGGUUUUGGCCUAAGUUGGAUAGUUAUCUAAGGCAAGGCUCUAUCUUUCUGCAGAGAAGGAAGCCAUUCUAUGGGCAUGGUAGGGAAAAAGAAAGCAAUCAGGUCUAUGUACUGCAGGGCUGAAGUACCUGUGUUGGCCAUAGAGGUUUGGGUCCAGGUCAGGGGAGCAGGACCUUGGUUCUCAGGACUUGGUUUUUGCAGGUGAAAUAGGAAUUUAACUGGACCAUGACCUUUUCCGUUUAUGUAAUUACUUUUCAGGAUGAAAUACCUUCAACCUGGGAAGAGCCUUGCCUUAAAGAAUAAACUAACUUGAAUUUUGUGUAAUCCAAAUAGUUUAGGUAUUUAAAAAAGUACAAAAUAAAAAACAGUUCCUGCCUCACUUAUGGGUUUGAAGGAAAGUCCAAUUGAAGCACCCGACAAAACUAAGUAUUGUGGCUGUUUUUCAUCUCCUGUGUGUGUGUGUGUGUGUGUGUGUGUGUGUGUGUGCACAUUUGCAGAUGUGUUCUAAGGCUGCGAAUCAACCACUGGUGCUGUUGGUCCUCGGAGUUGUUCAUGUCCUUUUUUUAAAGGCAGGGUUUCUUCUUGAGCUGGCUUGCUGGAUAGGCUAACCCAGGAGGCCAGCAAACUCUGGGGACCCACGGCACUCCCUCCCCAGCACAGGCGUCACAAGCCUAUGUUCUCUCACUUGACUUUUUUAAAAAAAUAGUUCUGGGUAUGAAACUCAGGUCUCCAUGCUUAUGUGACAAGCCACGUCACUAGGCACUCCUCCUUUAAAGCAAGUUAUAGUUUUGCAGUUUAGAGCAAAAAAAUUUUUCUUGUUUCCUCCCAAUUUAUGUAGAUUUUUGUUCCCACCCCAUCCCCAGCUAGUGGAAAGCUAAGAGCCUGCAUGCAUAGGAAUAGCACAGAUUAAAUCUUGGUCACAUACAACUACGAUCUGCUUGUAACUAAUCACUGCUAGGUGGGCAACAUACAGAGGUAGUGAGGCAUGUGGAAAGACUCAUGAAUUCUGAUGCCACCCAGGUUGGGUUUGAAGCCAAGUUACCUGUGGGAUUUUCUUGCUACUGGACCUUAGCAAAUAGCUUAUUCUCUUUGUGGCUCAGUUUCCUAAUCUGUGCAUUGAAAGUGAUUAUGACACUGUCCUGGUCGGGAUGGGAGAAUUAGCAAUUUAGCCCAUCACUACAUUAAAGGUACUUGGAAUUGCUCCUUGGAUAGUCUGAGUGCCGUGCAUAUUUGCUGUUCCUCGUAACCCGAAUAACUAAUGAAAUCUGCAGCUUACUGCUGGCUGUGUCAUCAGUCUUCCUUAGAUAUUUUAGAAGACCCUAAUCAAUUGGUAGAUGUAUUGUCACUGUCUCUUAGAUUACAAGUGAUUUAUUGCUGGAUAGAAAUGGCUCUGGGAGGUAAGCUUGUGGGAGAGUGUCCAUGGGCCAAGUGUGCAGGCUUCCAUCCAGCAGGCAUUCUAGGGAAUAAAGAGAUUAUAUAGUGUGUUUGCCUAGCUGGGUCUGGCUGUACUCAGGUUGACAGUUAGCCGAGGCUAACUGUCUAAGGAAGCAGGCGCUAAGCAUUCCUCAGCACUUAACACUGCAGCAUAUGGUAUUUAAUAACACAAGCAUUUCUCUGUUAAGCCACCAUUGCUUUCAAAGACAGGCAGUCUUUCCUUUUAUUUCUUGCCAUUAUUUAUUCUUUCUCUGCCUGUUUUUUCUGAAUGUCAAGAGUGAUGUCUGUUUAUGAAUAGGAAUCUCAACUGUCCUGUGGUACUUAACACUAUGAGAUUUAGGACAUCAGACCUGUUGACCUUUGAAGACAUCCUGGAGGACUGAUACAUUGCCAGGCCUUGGUGACACCCUGUAGAGCUAUGGCCCUUUGAGGACUCAGUGACAUUAUGUAGGGCUAUGAUCCUGGGAUGGUGUAGUGACAUUCUGUAGGGCUGCGACUCCACGAGGACUUGGUGUCAUCCUGUAAGCUCAUCUUCUUAUGAGGGCAUCUUGAUAUCCUACAGGAGUAUCCGAUAAGGUCCCUGAAAUGAUGUGGUGGCACUCUGUAAGACUGAUGUGAUUGCAGCCUACUACAACACCACUUACCCUUCUUGGACUCCAGGUCUUCAUGUGUGGGGUGGGAAUCCUGAUCUCUCAGAGGCUCCCUGUGGAGCACACGGAGGCCUGUGUGUAAGCUGGCCAGCACAGCGCCUUCUUUGUCUUCUUUCUUGUUUUACUCUCUUCAUUCCAUCUAUUUGCAGCCAGCAUCUUGGUUUUGGAUCAGAAAGCUUGAACUCUGCUUAAGUUUUCUGAGAUGGGAGAUUAACAGGAGAGGAAUGGCUUGUUUUGUUUUUGCUUUCAUGAGUGACUCAAAUGUUUUUUAUAUUUCCUGUUUUGAUAUGGAAUCUUUUUAUGCUGCUCUGGCUGCCUUCAAACUCAAGACCUGAGAAAUCCUUCUGCCUCAGCUUCCUGAGCAGUAGGCACUAUGGGUCCAUGCCAUCAUACGCAAACGAGUCACUACUUACUUCUUGGGAGUUUUCAGGGUACUUUGAUGUUUUUUCUGGACAUCGAGAGUGAAUUAAGGGUUUGGUGAGCUUUUUCUGUGAGGAGCUGAGAGUGGACGCUUUGGCUCUGUGUGCUGUCUAGUUCAGCCAGGCCUCCACCUAUUUCCUUCAUAUCUGCAGCUCACUGGAUAGUUGAAGUGCUGACGUGGCAACAGCCAGUGCCUCACUGAACACUCCUGGUCCUGUACUAAUAAAACUUUAUUUGAAUUUCAUGUACUUUUAAUGUGUCAUAAAAUAGUAUUUCUCUUUAUAUUUUUUCUACCAACCAUUUAAAAAUAGAUAUUUUUUUCCCUGAUCACUUUACUUGAGACCAUACCGAAAGAUGGAAAGAUGGAGUGGGAGGAGUUUGCUGCCUUCCUGAGUUUAAAAGCUGGUUAAUAAACUCUAUUAGAACCCAUGCAGUAGGAGGCUGUCCUUGAAGGAGUUUGUCUGACCCUAUCCCCCCCCCCCUUUUUUUUUUUUUUUUUUGGACAAAGUCUUAUCUUACUUCUGACUGUCCUGGAACUCACUAUGUAGACCAGGCUAGUCUGGAACUCACAGAAAUCCUCCUGCCUCUGCCUCCCUAGAGUUGGGAGCAACCAUGCCUGGCUGUGGCCACACCUUUGUGAAUCAUCAUUCUGGAGAAUGUAUAAAGACUCGAGUGUGACCGGAAAGCACAAGUACUCCCUUUGUGUUAGUUCCAGGUGGUUCUGGAUAAUGGCGUGUGCUGCCUGUGAGCCCAGGGCUCCGUUUCCUCUUCUUUUGACAGGAGGUUGGUCUCAUGCCUUCUCCUGACUGUUUUGACCCUCUGCCUUCUCUCUCCCGUCUCCUGCAUUAAAGGUGCAUUAAUAUCUUCUCAGUGCAGUACUUUAAGAGUUCUUACAAUGAGCGGGGAGCAGUACUGUCCCAUAAUGGUGCAUAAUCAAUGGAGAGAGAGCUUGUCAGGUUGUAAAUCACUGAAGAGCUUAGAUGACAUCAGCUUCGGGGAUGGAAUGGGAUCCCACGAUCUGCUCAGGUUCUAAAUUCUCUGGUUCCUGGAAUUAUUAUUAUUAUUAUUAUUAUCAUUCUAAACUUGCAGUCAUCUGGUGGAAAGUCUGCUGCUGUGAACCAGCCAUCCAUGACAAAGCACAGGUCAGCUUUGUCUCCUAGCCCCCUUCAUUCCUCCGUGUGGUUCACCUGCAAUGGGAAAUGCCUUGGAUACAGCUUCAGUGGUCACUGUGGUGCGCCUUCUGCUUAACUGUCAGAGAACAUCUUUCCCUCCAGAUGCAAACGGGAAGCUGACACCCUUUAGCCCAGCAGCACCACAGCAGAUGCACUUGAUGAUGCUGAGAAGCACUUUUAAGAGAAUAAAUACCUUAUAUUUCCCAACUUAAUGCAGAGAGGUUAAAAACAUGGUUGGUUGGUUUGUUUUAGCAUAGACCAGGGACAUUUUUGAAGCCUUUUCAUCUAGCAAAGCCAGGUUCCCUUUCGUCAAAGCAUCAGCAUUGCUUCAAUAUUUAGGUAUUAAUAUUCCCUUGUGGCUCAAUCAGCUCUUUGAAAAUGAAUUUCUCGGCACUGCUGUCAUAAUUAAAGACAGACAUGCUGAGGUGAACGGGAAUUUGUGUGUUUCUAAGAUUGAAAGGCUGUGUUGAGUCAAAUGAACAUCCUCUCAAGGUUAAGUUAUCUAUUUAAAUCCCUCCCAAUUACUGUGCCAGGCACAAUCUUUGAUGAGAUGCAGGGAGAACAAAUGACUUAAUCUGUGGGAGAGAAAUUCUCCAUGGGAAGGGAAGCCAUGGAAUUAGAAUGAACUGGACAGUGUUUGUUAUUAAGGGAAAAUAGUUACAUAAAUUGAACACGGCAGAGCCUCAGUAAAACACCAGCCACUUUUGGGUUACUAAGGUGUUGUAAUGGAAGAUCAGAAUGGUGGCUUUUUUUCUUCAUUUGGAGCAGUUUGGACCUCAAGCCUUCUCCCAAAGCCUGCUGAAGGAUGGGUCCUUGCUCUUGGUGCUUUGGGGAAAAUUCUUGAUGUGAAUUUUGGGACCCUGGCCCUUCCUGUGUUUUAUUGCUUCCUGGGUGCUAUGUGGAGAACAAGUAUGUUCUUGACUCUGUAGUGUAUUCCUGCCAAAUGUAUUUACCACCUCAACCCAGACCCCAGAGCAAUAUGGCCAAUUAGCCCGGAGCUGGGAGAAGAAUGCCUGAAGCUGGGAGCCAAAAUAAACCCUUCUUAGCUAUCUCAAGUCUUUGUCACAGGAAAGGAAGUCUGUCAGCAUACUGAGUAUGCGCCUUAAGAGGAGAAGAACCGUAAGGUGGCCAGAGUCCCAGACUAGCAGCAGACACUGUGAGCCUGGUCGCAUGGAGAAGUAGUCUCACUGAAAACAGCUCUCAUUGCCUUGCUCUCUGCAGUCAUUCCAAGUCUCAUUGCCUUUCCCCCUGACUCUUGCUUUCCACUGGGACAUCUGCUGGCAGGCCUCUGAGUAGUCCCCCUGCUUUCAGAGCGCGGGGGGGUGAGGGGCAUGCCUUGGACCUAGGUACUGGCAUCUGGAGCUAGCCCUUUCUGCUUCAGCCCCUCCACACUUCUGGUCUCUUCUCACUCCUGGCUGUGGUGCCCUGUGGGCCUGGCUCCCUUCUGUCUCCCCAUCCUUUCUGAUUAGCUGUGUGGGGUACCUGGAUGGUAUAGCUGUAUAGGCUUGCCUGGAUGGUCUAGUGGUCUAGUGGAGGCUCUGGAGUCAUACUGAUAGGUUCAAUUCCUGGCUGUGCCACUCACCAACAUGUGUAAGUAGCUGAAAACUUUCUGGGUCUUGAUUUCUCCCUCUUUGAGUUUCGUUUUUUAUAUAAGUUUACUUGAGUAAUACUAAUUCCCCUGAGAUUUUUUAUUGAGGAAGAAAUAACUUAACAUGGAAAGAAUUUAGUCCAUUGAUUUCUACUUAGUGAGCUCUAUACAGAUGCUGCUGCUUAAAAAGAGACAUUGUGUGUGUGUGUGUGUGUGUGUGUGUGUGUGUGUGUGUCUCAGAGGACAGCUUUGGGGGCUUCAACCCUUGCCUUUACCUUGAUUGAGACAAGGUCUCUGUUUUCUUCUCUGAGUGCCAGGCUAGAUGGCCCAUGAGCUUCUGGGAAUUCUCCUCUGUCUUCUUGCUAUGGGAACACUAGGAUUCCAGAUGUGUGCUACUGUGAACAUUAUGUGGGUUCUGGGGUACCCAACCCAGGUCCUCAUGCUUACAUAGCAAAUGCUUUAGACACUGGGCUCUCAACAGCUUCCGUGAUACUGGUUUGCUGGGAAAUAACUUGUAGCGUCUUAGCACCUUGGAGUUUUGGAUGGCUGCUCUGUCUCUUGUGGUAGUAUCUCUUAAGCACCUUUUCCCCUCCAGUUUCGAAGGCUUGGCAGGGUGUCCCACCCUCAGACUCUGCAUGCACUCUUCCCAUCAGCGAUUAAAGAGAAAAAGUUGCAACAGUAACAGCACCAUAAAAUAACGGUGUCACCCGACUAUACCUGGGCUCAUCCCUAUACAGAUUUAUUAUCUUCCUCUGGAGGCUUGGGUUCCGGUUUUCAAUAAGCAAGGAGAGCCUGUAAAUGAUCACAAUUGAAAUGCACCGUACAGUUCUCAGACCUCAUUCAAAUAUGCCAGAGCAAAGGGAAGGUACUUAGAACCCUGUGACCUCUCAGUCGCCUUCAGAUCUGUGGCGCUUUCCCAGGCUCGCUCUCGGGAUCCUUGAUGCAUCUGUAGAUACCACACCACUUAGUGUGUGGACCACCUCUUAGUUUUGCCUUGUCUGCUGCUCGUCUUCCAUCAUCCUGAUUGAGGUCCUUUCUGUCAGGUGGCACAUGAUGUGCUCACGUGUUCAGCUUUGGGUACUUGAUGAAGGUGGCGUCUGCUGGGAUUCCCUAGCCUAACGUCACCCCUUUCCACCUCCCGUGCAGCUUUCUGAUGCUAUCUAUGGCUGUGAAGCUUUAGCCUGCCCAUUUACUAUAUGACUGCUGGCUUAAUAACAUUCUAUUUUAUUUAAUGGGGUGUAAUUCCUCAUUGUUCUUUGGUAUACAGGCCACCUUGCAUUUAGAGAGUGGCUCCUAGGUCCCUUUAGAACUUUCUGAAUUAUUUUAUUCUAAUACUUUCUUAAUCCCAGGCACACUGUGUUUUGCUGGAUCCUGCUUGGGUUUGUGGCCCAGGAACGGAGUAGUCAGUGGGCUUGUAAUCCCCACCAGAGGAGACUGAUGUAUAGAAGCCAGAACUAGACCUUGUAUGUGCCGAUUGCUCCUGGGGGGUUGCAGCUCCCAGAACCCUGAGUAAUUAACAGGUGACAGUCAUUGCUGAGCAUUAUGUACUGCUAGUCACAGGCUCACAUUGCUGCCUCCAGCACACAGGGCAUGCUCCAUUUUAGUGUUCUCCGGUGCACAACUGUAGCUCUCUCUUCCAACAGGGGGAAAGUUGGAUCUCACUGGCUUGUGUGUAGUAUUUCUCUUUUAUCUGGUGCAUUUCAGGCUACUCUUCUGUGCAGAUGUGCCCUUAUCUUUUCUGGAUAGCAGGAUUCUGCACUAAGCUCUUUCUCUUCACAGGUAUGGGUACACUCCUUACUAUAGUGGGCACCAUUUUGGACACAUGCCCAUUGUACAUUAAGAAGGCAUGUCUUCCUCUAGUAGAGUGAAGGGCCAUGUGCAGUUUUAUUCAUCUUGGCAAAGAGGAGGGGUGUCUAGUACUCAUUUACCUCAAUUCAUCCUUCUCCUUGGGUUGUACAUAAAAUAUACAAUUUUAUGUGACAGCCCUGAUGUGACUCCAUGUCAUUGGCUACCGUUGCUUGGGCAGUGGUGGCUGUUCCUUGGAACUGAGGCAUGGCUGCAGAUUUGCUGCUUGGGUUUGAGAAACAUUGUUGCUGUUGGCUCUGAGCUGGGAAUGGGGUAGAUAGGGUAGGAAGACAAGGGCUAGAAAAAGGCCUAUUGGAGGCUUGGGAGAAGCACUGAGUAGCGGGCCCUGGGUUCUGUCUGACACUCAUUGUAACCCUGUGCUUGAUAUUUGAAGGACAACUGUACAUUAGUGUGACUCUUUCACUCUUCAGGUUUUGUGGACCACGUAUGCCAGGCCCUGUGAUGAACUGCACUGUUGUCUGGCAAGGGUCUCAGAUACAGAGACUAAUUAAUCAGUCUUCUAGAUGGGGCAGGAUGCUCACCAAAGACUAGCCUGAUUGGACAUGAGGUGGGAAUCAAAGGAGAGCCAUCCAACUAGGCAUCUACUUCGUCUUCUAGCUUCUGGAUGAAGAAGUGAAGGGUUUGAGCAGGUUCGUGGUCCCGAGGAUGUGUAGUGUUUUAUAAAGGCCCAUGCCUGCUUUCUCCUGCCUCCUCUGCUGUGGAUGUUUACUUCAAGAAGGUGGUGUCAGUCUCUUACAGAUAAUCCAGGAACCAGAUGGCCUUCAUUUCUCUCUCCCUGAUUAGUUCUAUAAAGCUAAUUGUCCAACUGAGAAAGGCUUGAUUUUAUAGGCGUAUAGGGGAGUCUUGCUGUUUACUGCUUUUUACCCCCUUUCUUGCCAGAGGCUGUGUUCAGCAGGAGAACCUGGGUUGAACAGCAGAGAGAUUUGGAAGACUUGUCUAUGUGAGGAGUCACCGUGUAUAGAUAGAUAGGUCUGAAAACAUCUCCCUUAAUUCUCUGAGCUAAAGGUGUGCCCAGUGUGGUUCUCAGAGCCUCCACUGUGCACUGUCUUUUCCUCUGUCAUAUUUUAAAUGGCUUUGACUGACAGCAGGAAGUUUGUGUAGUCUUUUUCAGACAAUGUCUGCAUUAAUGCCCUGUAGGCAAAGGCCUGGUAAGUGCAGGAGACCAUAUUAAGGAAUUAUAAUGUAAAAUUUAUGCUGAAUUAUAAAUGUGCAGGAACACAUUAUUCUAACUAAUUAUGAAGCUUACAAAGAGGCCAAGUGGUACUUGGUAAAUCUGAUUACUUAGGGUGGUAGAAAAACUAUUUUUUGCAGCACUGGAAAUAUUAUGCGUUGUGCCUUUUAUGCAGAGUAAAGAUAAUAGAGGCUGGAAUACAGGAUUAGCCGUGUGCUAUGUGAAAGAUGGCAGGCUUAAAAAAUCCAUUUGUAUUUCUGGAAAACUGUCUUAAUAAUCCACACGCCUUUCCAAUUUAACUCUGAAAGUUAAGUAAAGUUUGUGGAGAGGCAUCCAUUAAGGAGCUGAUGAGCUAGUUGGGCCUUCCAAGCCCAGACUAUAGUGUUAGGGCCCUGUGUUGUGAAAGCAUGAUCAUGGUGUAGUGUCAGGGUGUGAGGUAUAUGGGCUGUGUGCUUGUGUGCCCUGCUAACAUUCAGCUGUGAAUUCAAAUUGCAUCUCCAUGCAAGUGUAUUAUUUUUAAUGAAGACUGCAACAUGGUGGGGUAUUCUAAAUUAGGCCUGAUUAUAAUUGCAGAUGGUAAUUGAGCCUUUGGAAGCUGUUUUCUUAAACUGCUACAUAAAAAUUGUCUUUUUCAGUAUUGGUUUGUAGAAGUUUAGCGCUUGUUUAGGGAAAACUGUCUUUUAGCUCCUCCUUUUCAUUCAGUGUAUCUAUCUUCUUUAAGGGCCUUUGGCUCUGAAAACAUUUUUGCCUAGGACUUUCUUCAUAAUGGAUUAAAUAUAUUUUUGGCCCCCUCCAUGACAGAUGUUUUCCAGAUGACUUCUGGAUGGUUACUGAGUCAAAGUAGUCAUAUUCUCCUUUACUAUCAAAAGUACAAACCUCAGUGUGUUUGCUGGUCAUAGCACCUUGACUUAGCUACCUUCUGUUUGGAAGGCAAAUAUGACUUUAUUCAGUAUUUGAGUGUGGCUGGAUAUCAGCUGGAUGGCUUCUAUGUGGACUUACCUGUGAAUGGAAAUCAGAUGUACCCUGGUUCUCUCUGUUAAUAGGUAUGUAGACUUGCUUAUUCUGGCACCCACAAUCACAACUUCAAGAUGUUGCUUCCUCUCAGGGGAUGUUAGACAAUCUCUGGUUUCACGUCUGCCUGCCUGCCUGCCUUCCUUCCUUCCUUCCUUCCUUCCUUCCUUCCUUCCCCUCUCUCUUUUAUUUAUUUAUUUAUUUUUUUUUUUAUUUAUUUAUUUUAAUUUUUGUUUUUUGGGUUUUCGAGACAGGGGUUCUCUGUGCAGCCCUGGCUGUCCUGGAGCUCACUCUGUAGACCAGGCUGGCCUCGAACUCAGAAAUCCGUCUGCCUCUGCCUCCCAAGUGCUGGGAUUAAAGGCAUGCACCACCACUGCCCGACUUCUUUUUAAAUUUAAAGCCACAUGAAUCGUGUAUUUAAUUGCAUGCAUGUGUGUCACACAUAUAUACAGCUACUUUGGUAUUUCUAUGGAGGCCAAAAGACAGUUACCAGGAGUUGGUUCUCCCCAUCCACCAUGUGGGUUGUGAAGAUCAAAAUCAGGUCAGCAGGCAUGGCAGUAGGUUUAGUUCAGUGUUGGUGUUCUUUGGUAUUGGUCAGGUACAGUGUGGCACAGAACAGCUCCAUAAAUGCCCAUAGGGCAGCUGUUGGGAAACGCAGAGCCAAUGGCGUCUCAUUGGUCUCCAGCUACGACAAUGGCCAUGAGCUCUCUGGAUCAGAUGUCCUCUAAUUCUUUUUAGUUUUGCGGUUGCAUGUUAAACUAAAUAUCAAUUCAUAGGAAAUACUCUUUUCUGGCUAGGGGCAGAGCUCAACACUUGAGUAUUUGGCUCGUAUGCAGGGAGGCCCCAAGUUUUACCCAUAGUAUUUUCCCACCUACCCUCUAACCAUCAUCUUGUCGAAAAGAAAAAGUGGAAAUGAAGUCACAGGUGAACCCCUAUCAGCCCUGGACUGUGUAACCUAUUCCUACCAGGCACUGGGUUUACUGAUGAGCCGCAGCGAGCCUCUGUUUCCACCGCGACCAAGUCUGCUUUUGUUGCUGAGUUUCUCACCCCUUCAGGACUUGUUCUCCUAAGUGACAGCUUCUUCAGAAAGUGCUGACAGAAGGAUCUGAAUCAUACAGUCAUUCUCUUUCAGUGUGAACUUUGCCUGCUGAAGGCUGGAGGUGCACAGUCAUUAUGCUUAGCCGUGUUACAGUCUAUGUCCACAACCCAGAAAAGGAGGAAUCCUGGGAACCAGUAAUGAAUGGAGUAACAGAAGGUCAUUCUUGAGCAGUGACACUUUUAAUCUAUCGAUCUAUUGAUCUAUCUACCUACCUUCUAUCGAUCUAUCUAUCUAUCUACCUACCUACCUACCUUCUAUCUAUCUAUCUAUCUAUCUAUCUAUCUAUCUAUCUAUCUAUCUACUUACCUACCUACCUACCUACCAUCUACCUACCUACCUGUCUGUCUGUCUGUCUGUCUAUCUAUCUAUCAUCUAUGUGUGUUUAUGUGUCUGUGUGUGCAUGCAUGUGCACUGUGUGUCAUGGUGCAUGUGUGGAGGUCAGAGGACAACUUACUGCGGUUGGUUUUUUCUUUUACUAUGUGAGUCCUAAGAAUUGAACCUAGGUCGUGGGUCUUGGCUGCAAAGGCCUUUCCCCACUGAGCUAUUUUUCUGGCUUUCGAUUUUUAUUCUGUUCUCCACAAAAGGAGAAGAUAAGGGUGGAAGAUGUCAGAGCUCAGGUACAUUUUGUAGCUGUAUGCACCCCUCCUUUAAGCACAUGCAGGGAACUGAAAUUACAAUUUGCCUAUUAUAUGUUGACAGUAAUCUUUCAAAAAAUGGUUUUUUAUGUUUUUAAGUCAGGCAGCCAGCAGCAGCAGUAGCCAAUGAUAGAUGGGGCUAUUGAUGUGAAUCGAAUCUGCAGAGAGAAAAUUGGAUUUGGUUGUAGUAUGAACUUACGGUGAGGUACCAACAGAUGUGUAAUGGUCAGCCAUGGUUUUCCCCAGCACCAGGUACUAACUGAAUCCCCACUGACAUGACCCUGUGGAAAUGUUGUUUCCCCUCACCAGUGAAUUGAGGGCCUCUAGAGACAUCAACAGCAUCCUUCCUUUGGUUGUUAAGGAUUCUUGAAGUAAAAUAUCCUUUGGAGAGUAGGAGUGUGGAUCAGAGAUCUUCAUUGAUCACCUAGUCUCAUUAGUAAGGAAAUUUUAAGUGUGCCCUCAGCAACCAUAUAUGUUUUUCAGUAAUGUGUCUGUGUUCUUUCUGUGUGUGUGUGUGUGUGUGUGUGCGCGCGCGCGCGCAUACGCACGUGCACACAUAUAGAAGCCUGAAGUUGAGUUUGGGAAUCUUCUUUGAUAGCUCUAUACCUUAUUCUUUGACUCAGGGUGUCUCAGUUGAACCUACAGCAUACUGAUGGCUUGCGUGGGAAUUUCCUGUUUCUUCCCAAGAGCUAGAAUUACAGAUGGGCUGCCACACUUACACAGAAUUGGUGUGGCUGCUGUGUGUAAGGUCUUGUCCUCAUGCUUUGUAGAGCAGGUGCUUUAUGUGCUGAGCCAUUUCUGCAGAUCAACCUAAAAAUCCAUCCAUCCAUCCAUCCAUCCAUCCAUCCAUCCAUCCAUCCAUCUAUCCAUCUGUCCUCCCUCCCUCCCUCCCUCCCUCCCUCCUUUCCUUCCUUCCUUCCUUCCUCCCCCCCCCCCCGCCCCCGUACUGUGGGUAUAAGCUAGAAAUGACAGAUACAGUAGUGCUAUGGGGGCCAUUGCCCGGUCCUGUAGAACACUGAGCCCCAGCAUCUUCUUUAAAAAGACAGUUUAGGCACAGGAGAUGGCUCAGCCUGUGCUGUUCCUGUUUUCGAAGAAGACUUGAGUUCGGCUCCUAGUGCUCUUGUAAUUCUGUCUCCCAGGGGAUCUGAUGCCUCUGGCCUGGGAAGGCACCUGUAUUUCCCUCUCCCUCUCUCCCUCUCUCCCUCUCUCCCUCUCUCCCUCUCUCCCUCUCUCCCUCUCUCCUUCCCCCCUCUCCCCUCCCCCCCACAGAGACACAAAGUGACUUAACAAGUUUGGGAGGUGAGACAGGAGGAUCCCGGGGUUACUGGCUAGCCAGACUUGCUGAAUGAGUAUAGUCUAGGUUAAGGAGAAGAAAGACCUUCCUUUCCUCAGAAGAAAAUAAGAACGGAGAGUGCUGGAGAAAGACCGCUGAUGUCAUUGUCCAGCCUCUCUGUGUACCCACACAGGUUUGGACACACAUGAAUAUACACAUGCUCCCCCCCCCCCCAAUAAAAUAAGUGCUUUAACAUUGAUUCUGUGAUUCUGUGUGAAUAUGUAGCAGGAGUUGCAGAUAGGAUCAUGUUAACACUAUAGAGUCAGAGUUUUGUUCUGUUCUGUUUUUUUUUUUUUUGUUUUUUUUUUUUUUUGUUUUUUUUUGGUUGGUAGAGUCAGAGUUCUUAAGUUCCUUGCAGCUCACACAUCCCUCAGGUCUUACCCAGACACCCAGACUCAGAUGUGUCCCAAGCUCUUUAUCUCACUUAUUUCUUUUCUUUUCCCCUUUUUCUGUGUCUGCUCUCUUUCCUUUGUUGAGGAGACACAGCAUGUAGAUGGGUAAACGUGUCUCUUCUGACUCAGAGAAGGUGGAUUAAGAGCAUCCAACUUCCAGUUAAGAAAGUCAGAGUAUGUGGAUACGCGAGAGAACUCAGCCUGUCCCUUUGUUCAGGCUGUGUCUUGGGGAGCUAGUUAACACAUCUCUCCCUUCUCGCAUCUGCGGACUGUGGUAACUCGUGUCACCUCUCUGGAGGAUGAAGUAAACAUGUGAACCACCAGCACAGGGCUCACAUUACAUCACUGUCUCUUUAACUUUGGCUUAACAGUUCCCUCAACAAUUCAAGGGCGAAAUAUUUUGGUCCUUUCAAUUCCUUGGAAGCCUUGAAAGUAUCAGUCAGACAGAAGGUCUCUUGCCCCAUGUUUGUACCCUGUCUCCUGUUUCAGAUUCUCAAUAAAUAACUCAGCUUGCCUUGAACUUUCUCCAUCCUUCUGCCUCCUGCUCUGUGAUCAUAGGUGUGACACACCCUGGGUGUCUUUCGAGAUCAUACUGUGAAGGUCUUCAUUCUGCCUCAGAAAGAUCUCCAUAGCAGAAUGACUGGUGGGAUCCUGUGUUCUUGACAAAGACUGUUUGUUUCCUCUUUCUUAGUAAAGUAAGCCUGAAGCCUCAGCUUGCUUUUGUGGGUACUGUUCUGGCCUUUUCCGUAUCGCAGUGCUUAGAGGAUAACCUAAUUCUUAGUAGCUAGAUAGGAAGACGCUCUUUGGUUUAAGUUCCUUAAAUCUUGGCUUUGGCCUUAAUCAAAAGACUCUUUUUAGGUUUCUAAAAAGUUACUGAGAAGAGGGGACCCUGAGGGAUAGCAGGAAGAUUGCUUGCUGUAAUUAGUGUGGGACAGAAGUUGCUAUAUUUCCCAUGUCACUCACUCACUCAGUCGGGAUACUUUCUUUUGCUAUUAUUUUUAGGUGGCAGAUUGCAGUGCGUAUUUUAGGACCUGCCACCCACUUUGAUUUGAAAGCUUAUGUUGUCGGGAUGUUUAGCUACUGCAGGUAAAGACCUAAUUUUGCUAAAUAACGGACUUCAGGAUCUUGUUAAUUAUAUUACUUUUGCAACUGAAGGUGUUUCUCUCUAAUUUGUUAAGCAAAUAACUAAAUUCUAUAAGAGCAAAGUGAAACUUUUCAUGUUUUUGGAAUCCAUUUUCUGGUUUAGCAUAGUCUUUAAUAGCUUUACAUUAAUAGAAAAGAAGUAUGGGUUGCUGAGCAAACAUGAAGGAUGAAAUAUUUUGGCUCUUUGCAGUUAGUAGUUGCCUCUGCCUCUGUUACUCUUUUCCCCCUUACGUUGCUUCUAGGAAUGGAUAUGUGCUCCUUUGAAGGAAGUGUAGUGCUCUUUUUGCCUGUUCUGGAACUAUGGCGUCAGCUCCUAAAGCUCAAGGGCAGGCCGACUUUUCUACUGUGUGUGUUCACAGCAGGGGAAUCUCUCACAGGCAUGUUCAGGAGCAGGGUUUUUGUGGAUGCAAGCAACAGAAUGGAAGGUAGCUUUGGAAGGACUCGAUAGGUUUGCUACAGAAUAAAGGAAAGGUUGGUGAGGGCAGGAGCCAGCAUAGCGGGGGAAUGAUGACUUAGUGCACUAGUCAGGGAUCUCCAGAGGAACAGCUGCUAGAAGGAAUUUGUAUAUAUUAAAGGGGGAUUUAUUAGAGUGGCUUAGAGCUGGGUCCAGCUAGUCCAACUUUGCCGUCUCCCAACAGAGAGGCCGGGAACCUGGUAGUUGUUAGUCUAUGAGGCUGGAUGUCUCAGUUUAUGUUGGAAUCCUAAAAAAGUAUGUUCUAAUACUAGUGAAGGAACAACCUAGCUGCCAGAUAGAUGAACCUGUCAACAAGAGUAAGAACAAGCAGGCAAAAAGCAAUAGCUUCCUUCUUUCAUGUCCUUUUAUGUGAGCUGCCAUACAAGGUGUGGCCCCAAUUCUUGGUGGCCAUUCUGACUUCAAAUGAUCCACAUUUAGGGUGAGCCUUCAAACAUUAAAUAAUCUGAUCCAGAAAAUCCCAGUACCUGUGCCCAGCUGCUUGAGCUUUAGUUGAUUCCAGAUGCAGUCAAGUCAACAGUGCAGAUCAGCCGUGACAGCUAGUGAGAGGGGACUAGUUCCAAUCAGGUUCAGCUUUCAUGGAGGACACUGAACAUUCAGAUCCCUUCUUGUGGGGGACAGGGUACCUGUGUGGAUAAUUGAUCAAAAUUACAGACUGUGACAUUUCUCCUUUUCAUGGAGAAAUGCAAGUUUGGUUUGUAAAGUCUCCCCUGCUGAGCUUUCUUUCUUGAAGGUUAUUCCUUCCGUUACACUGUGGAGCCAACAGGGGCUCUAAGGACCCCACUCCAGUCCCAAUUGGGUCAGUUCAUCAGUUCCUGAUUGGGAAAGCAAAUCUCUCACAGUUGGUGGAGAUGAGGUGCUAGGGGGAUGUAGGGAAGUGAUUGGAAAGGAUCAGCUAAAGAAGACAAAAGGUGGUUGCUGUUGGUGGAAGCUUGGGAAAGAACUUGAAGGAUUGUAAGAAUCCUUGAUCAAACUAAACUGUAAAAGACAGCAAUAGGCAGGCUGAGGCUUUCUUCAUUUUAUUAUCAAACCCCAAACACAGUCUAAUGUGUGCUUAGAAAAUGCCCUGGGUUAUGGGGAAGGGGGCAACCGAAAAGCUAACCUAUUGCCUGUCUUAGUUACCAUUCUGUUGCUGUGAAGAGACAUCAUGACCAAGGCAACUUACAGAAGAAAACAUUCAACUGGGGGCUUGCUUACACUUUCAGAAACUUCCAUUAUCAUCAUGGCAGGGAGUGUAGCUGUAGGAAGGCAGGUGUGGUGCUGGAGUGGUAACUGAGAGUUACAUCCUAACCCACAGACAGUAUAUACAUGUACACACACACACCACCACCACCACCACCACCACCACCACCUCAGAAGAUAUAUUGAACAAGAAUAGCUUAGAAGAGGACAAUCCUUUCCCAACCCUUCUUCAAUUUGUAACACAUCUUGGCCAAGGUUCUGAGAUUUUUUUUUUUUUUUUUUUUUUUGGAUGGUGCUUUACUGCAUGGGGGUUCUAGUUUUGGGAUGGCUUCAUUGGUAAUGUGCUACUGAAGGGAGGCGCACGGGGUGGGAGGGCGGGGGAAGAACCAUAUGUUGCUGGCUAGUCCCAAUUGGUCUGGAACUCACAGAGACUCUCCUGCUCCUGCUUCCUAAAUACUGCUGUAAACAGUGCCUGGGUCCCACAGAGGAACACACAGUGUGGAAAUGGCUCAGAAAGAACAUCAUUUUUGCAAAAAAGUCCAAAUCAGGCUAGCAUGUACACAGAGUAUGCCCUGUGCCUCCUUUCCAGCCUGUGACCGAUGACUUUGCUGUGUUAGGCCAUCCUCGUUAGUGUUCUAGGAUACUGCAUGGACAUGAUGAACCUGUUCACCUGUACGCUGUUGAGGAGCAUUGGGCGUUCCAGGUGAACUCAUCUGCUGUGGGGGUCAUAGAGUGUCACAGAAUGCCUGAGGUAGGCUGCCUCAGGAUAUUUUGGAAAUAGUGAACUUUCUUGCUUCUCUUGAGAGUUCUGGAUGGUGGGACCGCUUUAAAUCCUAUUCCAGGCAUAAGCAUUAAGAUGCUGAAGUUUGUACACACAGGAUGUUCCCAUCCCCUUUAAAUUUAGAGCCCAUGUCUUACUGCUGCUUUCUUUUUCUUUGCAAACCUUUUAAGCAGCAAGACCAUUAAGUCUCUGGAAUGAAGCUCAUUGCUCAUGUAUUAAGUAAAUAACAUUCCUGUCCCAACAGGAUUUUUUUUUUAAGGAUCAUUUUUAGGUGACAUUAUGUAUUUGCAGGGGCUUGUCUUCAAAUAAAGGCCUAAUUGAAAUACAGCUGAAGAGGAAUCAAGAGUGCAACUCAGGUUUAAGGUGAAACGAUGCUAUCCCUCACUGCUUCACAGAUAAUUGCUUCAUGGUACACAUUUCCUGAUGAAGCUUUUGAAAAAAAAAUCAAGCAUUUUUCUUAGCCAUAGUCCUUCCUGUCCAUCCUGACACGAUAGAGGGACAGCCUUUUUUUCCCUCUCUCAGCAGUGAUUGUAGAAAUCGCUUGUUGCUUGGAAAUCAGCGAUUGCCUUCUGGUGUGCCAUUAAAAAGGAAUUUGGUGUCCUGAAUUCCAUUUUUAUUUAACAUAAGAUGUUAAGAGUUGGCAGUUUCUCUGUCAGCAGAAAGUGGGAUGUGUAAAUGGCUUAAACAUUUUCUUUUAUCGUUCAACUAUUAACAUUCAAAACCCACAUAAGCCAAGGAAUUGACAAUGCUUAAUAAACUAGAGGGGGGGGGUUGAUUGUUUCUGUCUUUCCUGCCAAAUUAUUCACCACCUCAGUAAUCCUGGAAAGAAAGGUUGUGGAGCGGCUAGGUGCCAGGCGGGCAGGUGCUAAUCAAUCAGAAGGAGGAGUUCAGGGUGGGAGCCAGCGUGCUGCUCGGUAAAACCGUUUACACACUGUGAUUCACCUACAGUAUGCUUUAAGGAAGAGAGUAAUAAUGGAGUUCAGACCCCUGGAGCUGAUGCCAGAAUAGAUCACAAUACAAACCGACAGACCUCGGAUUCUGUUAGCAAAACAAACAAAAUGAGGGGAAUUCAUGCAGAUGGCCUAGUUCUUCAACCCACUGGUCAGUUUGCAGAGGCAAAGACAGCCCUUUGGAUUAAAGCAGACUUCAGGACUUCAGCCACAGUCACUGUGAGGAACUGGGUCCUGAUUUGAACAGAUUGAUAAUGAAAACUUAUUUUUCAAAGGAGAAAUGUGAAUACUGGAUGGUGUCUGACUUGUGGCAUUAUUGCUGGUCUGUAGGUCUAGACUGACAGUGGUGUUGGGCUGGCUCAAUUCUGAGAAAGUGCCUGAUGUACCAACAGAAGGUCAUGGGUUGGACUGCCCUUCUCCAUGUACAAGUUAGAUGCCAAGGUGUGCAUGUAUAACCCCUGUGGGGAGCUACAGGGGAAGAUACUCUAAGGUGGCUUCUACUCUGAGUGUGCACAUGUACACACACACACACACAUACACACACACACACAGAAUCACAUUCAGGGCAGCCUUAUCUUUUAGUGACUGAUACUGAAUCUCUUAUGAGUGGAAAUUUGAUGCCAUUUAGCUGGGUGUGGUAGUUCACUCCUUGAAUCCCAGCCCUUGGCACAUGGAGGCAAGAGUUGAGGGUCAGCCUACACUGUGUGAAAUCAUGUCUCUAAGAAAAAUCCCCCAAACUAAACAAACCAAACAAAAAAUUCUGAGUUAAUGUACAAAAAAUAAUUGUUGACAUACACAGGCAUAGUCAGCGAAAGGAAAUACAUGUGUGGGCACCCCUCUUUCAGAAUGUUGGAAAAUUCAUAGUUCAGUAAAAAAAAAAAA